GAUGAAGAACGCAGCGAAAUGCGAUACUUGGUGUGAAUUGCAGAAUCCCGUGAACCAUCGAGUCUUUGAACGCAAGUUGCGCCCGAAGCCAUUAGGCCGAGGGCACGCCUGCCUGGGCGUCACACGUCGUUGCCCCCCCAUCUACUCCUUCGGGAUUGCGGGGGGCGGAUGAUGGCCUCUCGUGCGCCUCGUCGCGCGGUUGGCCUAAAUGCCAAGUCCUCGGCGACGCACGCCACGACAAUCGGUGGUUGCGAAACCUCGGUUGCCUGUCGUGUGCGGUCGUCGCGCAUCGAGGGCUCGAAAAAAUUGCCGGGCUUCGGCUCGACUUUCAACGCGACCCCAGGUCAGGCGGGGUUACCCGCUGAAUUUAAGCAUAUCAAUAGCGGAGGA
Molecule: unclassified non-coding RNA, 390 nt
Filed under: soil metagenome
Description: partial contains 5.8S ribosomal RNA, internal transcribed spacer 2, and large subunit ribosomal RNA
Rfam family: 5.8S ribosomal RNA (bases 1-122)
Source: RNAcentral